GAUGAACGCUGGCGGCGUGCCUAAUACAUGCAAGUCGAGCGAACAGACGAGGAGCUUGCUCCUCUGACGUUAGCGGCGGACGGGUGAGUAACACGUGUAUAACCUACCUAUAAGACUGGGAUAACUUCGGGAAACCGGAGCUAAUACCGGAUAAUAUAUUGAACCGCAUGGUUCAAUAGUGAAAGACGGUUUUGCUGUCACUUAUAGAUGGAUCCGCGCCGCAUUAGCUAGUUGGUAAGGUAACGGCUUACCAAGGCAACGAUGCGUAGACGACCUGAGAGGGUGAUCGGCCACACUGGAACUGAGACACGGUCCAGACUACUACGGGAGGCAGCAGUAGGGAAUCUUCCGCAAUGGGCGAAAGCCUGACGGAGCAACGCCGCGUGAGUGAUGAAGGUCUUCGGAUCGUAAAACUCUGUUAUUAGGGAAGAACAAAUGUGUAAGUAACUAUGCACGUCUUGACGGUACCUAAUCAGAAAGCCACGGCUAACUACGUG
Molecule: ribosomal RNA, 497 nt
Filed under: uncultured bacterium
Lineage: Bacteria
Description: partial 16S ribosomal RNA
Rfam family: Bacterial small subunit ribosomal RNA
Source: RNAcentral